CGCGACCUCAGAUCAGACGUGGCGACCCGCUGAAUUUAAGCAUAUUAGUCAGCGGAGGAAAAGAAACUAACCAGGAUUCCCUCAGUAACGGCGAGUGAACAGGGAAGAGCCCAGCGCCGAAUCCCCGCCGCGCGUCGCGGCGUGGGAAAUGUGGCGUACGGAAGACCCACUCCCCGGCGCCGCUCGUGGGGGGCCCAAGUCCUUCUGAUCGAGGCCCAGCCCGUGGACGGUGUGAGGCCGGUAGCGGCCCCCGGCGCGCCGGGCUCGGGUCUUCCCGGAGUCGGGUUGCUUGGGAAUGCAGCCCAAAGCGGGUGGUAAACUCCAUCUAAGGCUAAAUACCGGCACGAGACCGAUAGUCAACAAGUACCGUAAGGGAAAGU
RNAcentral lists this ribosomal RNA (380 nucleotides) under Mus musculus (house mouse). RNAcentral describes it as "eukaryotic LSU rRNA". It matches the Rfam family "Eukaryotic large subunit ribosomal RNA", at positions 1 to 364 of the family's 3401-position model. The record is from RNAcentral. Lineage: Eukaryota; Metazoa; Chordata; Mammalia; Rodentia; Muridae.